AAGUCGUAACAAGGUUUCCGUAGGUGAACCUGCGGAAGGAUCAUUAGCGAGAGCCUGUGCUUUCACGGUUUGUGAGGGAGCAAGCGCGCCAUCCUUGUGUUGUGUGUGGUGUUGUGCACUCUGUGCGAGUGCACAUGCAUUUUUCAACAACGCUUUAUUCAUUUCUUUUCUUCUGAAAAUCUUUUGCUCACACGAGCACAAACAACCGAAAACUGCCAGCAAUGGAUCACUCGGUUCUC
RNAcentral lists this unclassified non-coding RNA (239 nucleotides) under fungal sp. RNAcentral describes it as "partial internal transcribed spacer region". The stretch from base 1 to 46 matches the Rfam family "Eukaryotic small subunit ribosomal RNA", at positions 1786 to 1831 of the family's 1831-position model. The record is from RNAcentral. Lineage: Eukaryota; Fungi.